Molecule: RNA transcript, 1973 nt
Organism: Nomascus leucogenys (northern white-cheeked gibbon)
Lineage: Eukaryota; Metazoa; Chordata; Mammalia; Primates; Hylobatidae
Gene: C2H16orf95
Gene name: chromosome 2 C16orf95 homolog
Exons: 5
Source: RefSeq, a predicted model, not a curated record
UUAGGUUCUGGCUGGGGCAGGAGGGAAAGGCGGGGUCCAAGGCGUCAGGGCCUGCGGACGACGUGUGUGUGAAAGGGCGCGUCAGCCAUAAGAAGCCAUACGAGUGCGAGCAGGUCCCCACUGUCCCCGCGGCGUUGUCACCAUCAUCAUGAGGCCACUGGAGCAGCCUCAGGCGCUGCUGACGGGGAUCCGGGCGCGGGGGGCGUCGGGCUCUGCAGGUUGGCACUCACACUCAGCGCGCAGGAUGGCAGGCAAGUGCGUCCUGAAUCCUGCCCGCGGCUACCCCACACCGCGCCUGUGAGUUCCCGGCCCGGCAUUGCUCCAUGACCUAUGCAUAGGCGGAACUCUUGACCACCACCCACAGGAACCUCACUUACAUUGGCGUAAGAACAAAAACGCGACUGAUGCUUCCACAUAACUGAAAAUGUCAGAAGUAGGCCUUCAGGCAUGGAUGUAUCCCGCUGCACAUUGACCAUGGUCCUGGAAGUUUUCUCUCCGUCUCUCAGCUUCUUUCCUUUUUACUGGCUUCCCUUGUGGAGGCAAGAUGAUCGCCAGGACCUCCUGAGGUUUACAUGUUAUCAGAUUGUCAACCUCAACAAAAAGGAGAUUCUUUUUUUCCCAGCCUUCCAGGCUGGGCAGUGGAAUAGCACAUUUCAAACCUACAAGAAAGAAGUGUGCCUCCCAGGUAAUUCAGUAAGGAAAGCAAGUCCUCAGCCACUUGGCCCUGACCCCAACAUACCCCUGUGGGGUGAGGAGAGCAGAGGAUGUGGGUCCAGAAGCUGCAUCCCAUGAGAGAAUGCUCCAAACACAAAAGUCUGGUUGUAGGAGCUAUCCCUGGGCCUCCGGAACACCUCCCAGGCCCUCACAACGCCUGAGUUCAGGAGGCCACCUAAUGUACCUGCCUUGGGCAUCAGCUUCUCCGUCUGCCCCUGGAGGUGAUGGCAGCCCCUCUUCUUCCUGCCUGAGGGUGUAACGCAGGUCACUUGGGAUGGAUGUGGAAGCUCUUGCAGACCAGAGUGUGACAGAUGGCCAUAAAGGCAGCACUCAUGUGCCCAUAAGCUCUAGAGCUCCUUGUACAUGCCCAUUUUCAGAGGGGACCAUGAGACUUGCUCAUUGUAGCACAGCAGGAAGCGCCCGAGAAUCCCAGCGCACCUGAUUUGCAAGCUCCGAUGCAUUCCCCUCCAAAUGAUCUUGGAGGCCUCAGGGCGAGCCACGGUAGCCUGCCUCUUUCCAAGCUGCAGUAGGAGCUGGGGACCCUGCCCCCAGACACCAUCUUCCUGAGCGCGCAUCUCCUGUGCCCGAGAGCCUCCUGUCUCCCUGCAAAUGCAGCAUCAAGCUCAGUUCUGUCAUUUCUGGAUCUUGCUCAGAUGCACCCUGGCCCCUGGGCCAUCUGCUGUGAGUGCCAGACCAGAUUCGGGGGCCGCCUGCCUGUGUCCAGGGUGGAAGCAGCACUGCCUUACUGGGUCCCUCUGUCCCUGAGACCCGGAAAGCAGCACCCCUGCUGGAUGCAUGCUCCUGGCGCAACUGCUGGCGGAUCUGCGGUGAUGAGUGCCUGCUGCCCAAGUGCCAGCAGCUCCAGGCCCCCUACCAGGACCAGCUACCGGCUCCCCCAGUGCGUCUGCUGCCCCUUGGCCUCCUGACCCUCCUCCAGGCCAUCCUGAGGGUCAUCAUGGCCAUUCGCCAGUUUUUUGGGGUUUGAAGUUGGAAUCUUCAGCCACUGUCAGGAACAACCACAAAAAUGUGUCACGAUCAAGAUCUUUAACAAGAGUCCUCCGAUCAGGAGGCAUCUGUGACAGUCGCUGUCUUCUCAUAGAACAGGAUCCACACCCAAGAUUCAACCCAAAUUAUUUCUCAUCAGGGGGGUCUUGUCCCCAUCUCCAUGUCCCUGGGGGAGGGUACCUAUUUCCGAAUGUCUCUUCUGGGACAGCAGACCCACUGGAUGAGGGCCAGAAUAUGGUUUCAGCACCUGUGUC